GAUUAUUUAUGUAAUUUUCGAUUUAAUCUUGUCUAAAUUUUUUUUUUUCCUUUUUAUGCUUACACGGUUACAGCGGCAUCGAAAGAUGGUUGAACCACAAAUCAAAGAUCAUUUGUUGGGUUAUGAAGGUGGAUGUGAGUUAAAUACCGGUGAAAUAAUUGAAUCAGAUUCACAACUUGUUUAUCAUCAUGAUAUAAUCACAAUAUAGCACAUAGUCUAU
This 220-nucleotide long non-coding RNA is filed under the name Linum usitatissimum (flax). RNAcentral describes it as "long non-coding RNA (LUSI_LNC007557)". The record is from RNAcentral. Lineage: Eukaryota; Viridiplantae; Streptophyta; Magnoliopsida; Malpighiales; Linaceae.